This 350-nucleotide long non-coding RNA is filed under the name Androctonus crassicauda. The record is from RNAcentral. Lineage: Eukaryota; Metazoa; Arthropoda; Arachnida; Scorpiones; Buthidae.
AAUGAUUUAUGACAGUGGUGUUUAACCUUUCUUGUUAUGCGAGCUACUUUCCUAUAUUGUUAUUCAGCAAUCUACUUUCUUAUUAUAGAUCAUGUUCUCUCAAUCCGAGAAGCUUGCCCCAACCUGAUAUUUAAUUAUAAUACAACUAUGCGGUUAAAUGUGCUGACUCACUUCAGAGGACCCAUUCUCCCAGCCCUGAAAACUUUAUUUGUGUAUUUAAAAAUUUAUUUAUCACUUUUAAUUAUUUUUAUUCAACAAAUAUGUUGAAUAAAAUAUUUAUUUUUCUAUUUUGGAAAACUAAAGUUAGAAAAAACAACAGAUUGAUUAUAAACAUAUAAGUUAUAGGAAAU